This is a long non-coding RNA of Carya illinoinensis, 228 nucleotides long. RefSeq lists it as uncharacterized. The transcript is spliced from 2 exons. NCBI's taxonomy places the organism in Eukaryota, Viridiplantae, Streptophyta, Magnoliopsida, Fagales, Juglandaceae. The record is from RefSeq and is a predicted model, not a curated record.
UUAAUUUGUAUCAUAGUAUUAUAAGGCCUGAUUUGUUCAUGUAUGUUUAUCUUAGGUGAUUUGUGGAUUUGGAAGGAUGGGUACAAUGUUUGGGUGCGACAAGUACAACAUAAAACCAGACCUUGUGUCCCUUGCAAAGGCCCUUUCUUCUGCAUAUAUGCCUAUUGGAGCUGUACUUGUGAGCCCCGAAGCAUCAGAAGUCAUACAUUCUCAAAGCAACAAACUCGG